AACGAACGCUGGCGGCAUGCCUAACACAUGCAAGUCGAACGAGACCUUCGGGUCUAGUUGCGCACGGGUGCGUAACGCGUGGGAACCUGCCCUUAGGUUCGGAAUAACUCCCCGUAAGGGGUGCUAAUACCGGUUAAUGUCUUCGGACCAAAGAUGUAUCGCCUUUGGAUGGGCCCGCUUUGGUUUCGCUAGUUGGUAGGGUAAAAGCCUACCAAGGCGACGAUCCAUGGCUGGUCUGAGAGGAUGAUCAGCCAGACUGGGAAUGAGACACGGCCCAGACUCCUACGGGAGGCAGCAGUGGGGAAUAUUGGACGAUGGGCGCAAGCCUGAUCCAGCAAUGCCGCGUGAGUGAUGCAGGCCGUAGGGUUGUAAAGCUCUUUUACCCGGGAUGAGAAUGGCAGUACCGGGAGAAUAAGCACCGGCUAACUACGUG
RNAcentral lists this ribosomal RNA (433 nucleotides) under uncultured bacterium. RNAcentral's name for it is "partial 16S ribosomal RNA". It matches the Rfam family "Bacterial small subunit ribosomal RNA", at positions 29 to 507 of the family's 1533-position model. The record is from RNAcentral.